Molecule: transfer RNA, 79 nt
Filed under: Armillaria luteobubalina
Lineage: Eukaryota; Fungi; Basidiomycota; Agaricomycetes; Agaricales; Physalacriaceae
Description: tRNA-Pro
Rfam family: tRNA
About the family: Transfer RNA (tRNA) molecules are approximately 80 nucleotides in length. Their secondary structure includes four short double-helical elements and three loops (D, anti-codon, and T loops).
Source: RNAcentral
GGCCUUAUGGUCUAGUCGCAUGAUUCCUCGUUUGGGUUGAAUUUCGAGGAGGUCCUGGGUUCAAUUCCCAGUGAGGCCC